GACGAACGCUGGCGGCGUGCUUGACACAUGCAAGUCGAACGGAAAGGCCCUGCUUUUGUGGGGUGCUCGAGUGGCGAACGGGUGAGUAACACGUGAGUAACCUGCCCUUGACUUUGGGAUAACUUCAGGAAACUGGGGCUAAUACCGGAUAGGAGCUCCUGCUGCAUGGUGGGGGUUGGAAAGUUUCGGCGGUUGGGGAUGGACUCGCGGCUUAUCAGCUUGUUGGUGGGGUAGUGGCUUACCAAGGCUUUGACGGGUAGCCGGCCUGAGAGGGUGACCGGCCACAUUGGGACUGAGAUACGGCCCAGACUCCUACGGGAGGCAGCAGUGGGGAAUAUUGCACAAUGGGCGGAAGCCUGAUGCAGCAACGCCGCGUGCGGGAUGACGGCCUUCGGGUUGUAAACCGCUUUCGCCUGUGACGAAGCGUGAGUGACGGUAAUGGGUAAAGAAGCACCGGCUAACUACGUGCCAGCAGCCGCGGUGAUACGUAGGGUGCGAGCGUUGUCCGGAUUUAUUGGGCGUAAAGGGCUCGUAGGUGGUUGAUCGCGUCGGAAGUGUAAUCUUGGGGCUUAACCCUGAGCGUGCUUUCGAUACGGGUUGACUUGAGGAAGGUAGGGGAGAAUGGAAUUCCUGGUGGAGCGGUGGAAUGCGCAGAUAUCAGGAGGAACACCAGUGGCGAAGGCGGUUCUCUGGGCCUUUCCUGACGCUGAGGAGCGAAAGCGUGGGGAGCGAACAGGCUUAGAUACCCUGGUAGUCCACGCUGUAAACGGUGGGUACUAGGUGUGGGGUCCAUUCCACGGGUUCCGUGCCGUAGCUAACGCUUUAAGUACCCCGCCUGGGGAGUACGGCCGCAAGGCUAAAACUCAAAGGAAUUGACGGGGCCCCGCACAAGCGGCGGAGCAUGCGGAUUAAUUCGAUGCAACGCGUAGAACCUUACCUGGGUUUGACAUGGAUCGGGAGCGCUCAGAGAUGGGUGUGCCUCUUUUGGGGUCGGUUCACAGGUGGUGCAUGGCUGUCGUCAGCUCGUGUCGUGAGAUGUUGGGUUAAGUCCCGCAACGAGCGCAACCCUUGUUCACUGUUGCCAGCACGUUAUGGUGGGGACUCAGUGGAGACCGCCGGGGUCAACUCGGAGGAAGGUGGGGAUGACGUCAAGUCAUCAUGCCCCUUAUGUCCAGGGCUUCACGCAUGCUACAAUGGCUGGUACAGAGAGUGGCGAGCCUGUGAGGGUGAGCGAAUCUCGGAAAGCCGGUCUCAGUUCGGAUUGGGGUCUGCAACUCGACCUCAUGAAGUCGGAGUCGCUAGUAAUCGCAGAUCAGCAACGCUGCGGUGAAUACGUUCCCGGGGCU
This 1346-nucleotide ribosomal RNA is filed under the name uncultured bacterium. RNAcentral describes it as "bacterial SSU rRNA". It matches the Rfam family "Bacterial small subunit ribosomal RNA", at positions 28 to 1381 of the family's 1533-position model. The record is from RNAcentral.